GAAGCGGAGGGACAUUACCGAGUUAUUCAACUCAUCAACCCUGUGAACAUACCUAAACGUUGCUUCGGCGGGAAUAGACGGCCCUGUAAAACGGGCCGCCCCCGCCAGAGGACCCUUAACUCUGUUUCUAUAAUGUUUCUUCUGAGUAAAACAAGCAAAUAAAUUAAAACUUUCAACAACGGAUCUCUUGGCUCUGGCAUCGAUGAAGAACGCAGCGAAAUGCGAUAAGUAAUGUGAAUUGCAGAAUUCAGUGAAUCAUCGAAUCUUUGAACGCACAUUGCGCCCGCCAGUAUUCUGGCGGGCAUGCCUGUUCGAGCGUCAUUACAACCCUCAGGCCCCCGGGCCUGGCGUUGGGGAUCGGCGGAGCCCCCCGUGGGCACACGCCGUCCCCCAAAUACAGUGGCGGUCCCGCCGCAGCUUCCAUCGCGUAGUAGCUAACACCUCGCGACUGGAGAGCGGCGCGGCCACGCCGUAAAACACCCAACUCUUCUGAAGUUGACCUCGAAUCAGGUAGGAAUACCCGCUGAACUUAAGCAUAUCAAUAA
Molecule: ribosomal RNA, 545 nt
Filed under: Fusarium solani
Lineage: Eukaryota; Fungi; Ascomycota; Sordariomycetes; Hypocreales; Nectriaceae
Description: eukaryotic LSU rRNA
Rfam family: 5.8S ribosomal RNA (bases 168-321)
Source: RNAcentral